GAUGAACGCUGGCGGCGUGCCUAAUACAUGCAAGUCGAGCGAACAGACGAGGAGCUUGCUCCUUCGACGUUAGCGGCGGACGGGUGAGUAACACGUAGGUAACCUACCUAUAAGACUGGGAUAACUUCGGGAAACCGGAGCUAAUACCGGAUAAUAUUUCGAACCGCAUGGUUCGAUAGUGAAAGAUGGCUUUGCUAUCACUUAUAGAUGGACCUGCGCCGUAUUAGCUAGUUGGUAAGGUAACGGCUUACCAAGGCAACGAUACGUGGCCGACCUGAGAGGGUGAUCGGCCACACUGGAACUGAGACACGGUCCAGACCCCUACGGGAGGCAGCAGUAGGGAAUCUUCCGCAAUGGGCGAAAGCCUGACGGAGCAACGCCGCGUGAGUGAUGAAGGUCUUCGGAUCGUAAAACUCUGUUAUUAGGGAAGAACAAACGUGUAAGUAACUGUGCACGUCUUGACGGUACCUAAUCAGAAAGCCACGGCUAACUACGUG
RNAcentral lists this ribosomal RNA (497 nucleotides) under uncultured bacterium. RNAcentral describes it as "partial 16S ribosomal RNA". It matches the Rfam family "Bacterial small subunit ribosomal RNA", at positions 28 to 507 of the family's 1533-position model. The record is from RNAcentral.